UGUGUGUGUGUGUGUGUGUGUGUGUGUGUGUGUUGUAUGUGUAUGUGUGUGUGUAUUAUACACACAUACACACACACACACACACACACACACACACACACACAUACAUAUAUAUAUUAUAUAUAUAUAUAUAUAUAUAAUAUAUAUAUGCAUGCAUACACAUAGAUACAU
Non-coding RNA from Penaeus vannamei (Pacific white shrimp), 171 nucleotides. NCBI's taxonomy places the organism in Eukaryota, Metazoa, Arthropoda, Malacostraca, Decapoda, Penaeidae. The record is from RefSeq and is a predicted model, not a curated record.